RNAcentral lists this ribosomal RNA (253 nucleotides) under uncultured bacterium. RNAcentral describes it as "partial 16S ribosomal RNA". It matches the Rfam family "Bacterial small subunit ribosomal RNA", at positions 524 to 776 of the family's 1533-position model. The record is from RNAcentral.
UACGUAGGUAGCAAGCGUUGUUCGGAAUUACUGGGCGUAAAGAGUGUGUAGGCGGUGUUCUAAGUUUGUCGUGAAAUCUCCCGGCUUAACUGGGAGGGUGCGGCGAAAACUGGAAUGCUAGAGGAUGGGAGAGGUAAGCGGAAUUCCUGGUGUAGCGGUGAAAUGCGUAGAUAUCAGGAGGAACACCUGUGGUGUAGACAGCUUACUGGACCAUUUCUGACGCUGAGACACGAAAGCGUGGGUAGCAAACAGG